UAAGGUACGCUGUUGAGGGUUAAGGAUUUACUCCGUAAGCCUUCGGCAGCCUCAGAAACUAGGCCGCUGCAACUGUUUAUUUAAAACAUAGCACUCUGCAAACACGAAAGUGGACGUAUAGGGUGUGAUGCCUGCCCGGUGCUGGAAGGUUAAUUGAUGGGGUUAGCUAACGCGAAGCUCUUGAUCGAAGCCCCAGUAAACGGCGGCCGUAACGAUAACGGUCCUAAGGUAGCGAAAUUCCUUGUCGGGUAAGUUCCGACCUGCACGAAUGGCAUAAUGAUGGCGGCGCUGUCUCCACCAGAGACUCAGUGAAAUCGAAAUCGCGGUGAAGAUGCCGUGUACCCGCGGCUAGACGGAAAGACCCCGUGAACCUUUACUGCAGCUUUGCACUGAACUUUGAUCUUACCUGUGUAGGAUAGGUGGGAGGCUUUGAAGCUCGGACGCUAGUUCGAGUGGAGCCAUCCUUGAAAUACCACCCUGGUAAUAUUGAGGUUCUAACCCAGGUCCGUUAUCCGGAUCGGGGACAGUGUAUGGUGGGUAGUUUGACUGGGGCGGUCUCCUCCUAAAGAGUAACGGAGGAGUACGAAGGUGCGCUCAGCGUGGUCGGAAAUCACGCGUAGAGUAUAAAGGCAAAAGCGCGCUUAACUGCGAGACCGACAAGUCGAGCAGGUACGAAAUUAGGUCUUAGUGAUCCGGUGGUUCUGUAUGGAAGGGCCAUCGCUCAACGGAUAAAAGGUACUCUGGGGAUAACAGGCUGAUACCGCCCAAGAGUUCAUAUCGACGGCGGUGUUUGGCACCUCGAUGUCGGCUCAUCUCAUCCUGGGGCUGAAGCAGGUCCCAAGGGUAUGGCUGUUCGCCAUUUAAAGAGGUACGCGAGCUGGGUUUAGAACGUCGUGAGACAGUUCGGUCCCUAUCUACCGUGGGCGUUGGAGACUUGAGAGGAUCUGCUUCUAGUACGAGAGGACCGAAGUGGACGAACCUCUGGUGUUCCGGUUGUCACGCCAGUGGCACUGCCGGGUAGCUAUGUUCGGAAGGGAUAACCGCUGAAAGCAUCUAAGCGGGAAGCCUACCUCAAGAUAAGGUCUCCCUGAGGGUUUAACCCUCCUAAAGAGCCGUUAGAGACCAUGACGUUGAUAGGUUCGGUGUGGAAGUGCAGCGAUGCAUGAAGCUAACGAAUACUAAUUGCUCGUGAGGCUUGACUG
RNAcentral lists this ribosomal RNA (1202 nucleotides) under metagenome. RNAcentral's name for it is "bacterial LSU rRNA". It matches the Rfam family "Bacterial large subunit ribosomal RNA", at positions 1742 to 2925 of the family's 2925-position model. The record is from RNAcentral.